GGGUUAUUUAAUAGUUAUUACAUCUCUCAUGGUACUGUCUCCUAGCAACCAGCUAUAUUGUGCUGCUACUUAGUUCUGCUUAUUAUGGCUUGAUUCUGGUACUCCACUACUGUCAACAUUCCUCUUGGCUUCUGCUGCUGCUGCCAUCUGCUGGACAUGACUUUUAUUGCUCCUCACCCUCAAGUGUUACCUACUUUUUUGUGAAACUGUCAGCAUGGUGACCAAGCAUUUUCAGCUCUUUUGUCUUCAGAGGACAGCUAGUCUAAGCUAAUCUAUGCCUGCACAACAGUCAAGCAACCUACCCCCUCUGUUGGUCUCUUCAGGGACUGUACAGUCCUUAUGACAUGCAGUAGCACCUUAGGGGCUGCUACUAAGGAGAAAGAACUCAGAAAGUCAAACAACCUUCCCUUCUGGUUGGUUCCUCUUUAUCUCGAGAGUUCCAGAGAGGUGACUCUCUCUUUCGCGUCAGAGACAUGACUGGUGGCAGUGUGCUGGGCAUCUUGGCGUCUUGGCAUGGGUCAGGGGAGAGAGUUCUGGACCUGGAGUAGAAGAUCUGAGUUUAAAAAGUCUGUCUCAGACACUUACUAUGUGACCUUGGACAAGUCACAUUCUAUUUGCCCCAGUUUCUUCAUUUGUUAAAUGAUAAUAAUAACAUCUACAAUCCAGUGGUACCUCCCUACCAGUGGUGGUUGUGAGGAUAAAAUUGAUAAUAUUUUUUAAAUGCUUUGUAAAUUUUCCAAUGCUACAUAAAUGCUAUU
This 758-nucleotide long non-coding RNA is filed under the name Monodelphis domestica (gray short-tailed opossum). RNAcentral describes it as "lncRNA (ENSMODG00000033866.2)". The record is from RNAcentral. Lineage: Eukaryota; Metazoa; Chordata; Mammalia; Didelphimorphia; Didelphidae.